This 2155-nucleotide long non-coding RNA is filed under the name Gallus gallus (chicken). The record is from RNAcentral. Lineage: Eukaryota; Metazoa; Chordata; Aves; Galliformes; Phasianidae.
AGGCAGAUCGCAUAAACCCGCCAGCCAAACUGAAUCUUUGUUAAAACUCACUCCUGUUGUUGCCAGAUAACAGCCAGAAGGAAGGACCUUAAUCUGCGGCUGGGCUGCCCGCCGGAGGAGCGAGUGGGGCGGGCGGGGCCGGGCGGGGCGCAGAGGGGAGCCCUGGCGCCGCCCCCGCGCUCGGCCGGCGGCGGGGCGAGGGGCGGGGCCGGGCGGGCUGCGGCGUAGAGGCCGUCGCGAGAGAACGGCAGGGAACGGCGGGCGGAACCCGCUUCCGGGAAAGGGCAGGUCCGUGGGGGCGUGGGGGAGAGCGGCUUCCGGCAGGGAGCGCGCGCAGGGGGCGUGGCCUCGGCUGCUUGCGGUGGGGGUCCGUCGUAUUGGCGGCCGGCGGUCCGCAGCUGGCUGUGUCCUGCUGUGCUGCUUUCCUGCUCGUUAACUCGGGGCCUAGUGGUGACACAGCCUCUGCUUUCCCGGCUGUUUUGGCCUAAUCUUUUAAGGGUGACAUCCGUGUUUCGUGUCCACUGCUCUCCCCCCCAGGUAAUCUUUGGUCUGGCCAAUAGAUGAGGCACGUUCCUCGGUGGUAAAGAGAUAAGUUGCAGACAUCUGUCGCCGAAUUUAUCAGCCAUUAUUUUUGGCAUGGAAGGCAGAAAAGGAUCCUUCCCCGAGGGAUGAGUGGAAGCUGCACAAGCAUUCAGUACACUGAGCUUAAGAAUUAUUAUCAUCGGCAGAAGGGACGUGAAGCACUGAGACUGUUAGAUUACUAUUAUUUUUUAAUAUCCAGGGACCUGUCCAUGCAUGAAGGGUUUUACAGCUCCCAAACAAAGCAGGGAUAAAAAAGGAGAGUUCCCACAUUAAUAACAAAAAUUCAAAUAACAGCUUCCUGGUAACUGUAUCUUUCCCUAUAAGAUCAGCAACUUAAAUGGGAGCUUUGUGUAAACAUGGCAUAAGCAAUGCAGAGUAACCUGAUAAUAACGUAGAAAUUGGCUGCUAAGUACAUAUUUGUAUUUUAUGAGGCUGCAGCCAUUCUAGUGUUUGCCUCACAGAAGACACUGUUGGCAGUCAGAGCUUAAGCCAGCUGAGUAUAUUUUUUUUAGAAUGGUGGUGAGAAUGGGGGGGGGAACGUGAGCAGAAACUACACAGGCUGUCUUGAGUGCUUUCCUCCUCCCCACAGCGGCUGUGUGUGGUUUCCAGGUUUGGUAGUUGGAGUUUUUAUCAGCUCAGAUGGAAAUCUUCCACCUCCAUGCUAGCACAAUACAGCCUUUGUGUGCAGUUUGCAGAGCAGGUGCACUUUAAGACCUUCUGUGCUGUUCUCUGUGCUCAGCUUUGUGCAGGUUCUGACAUCUUAGACAUUUAGCCAGUGCUUAGGCCAUCUCCCUCUAGGCUUUAGUUUCUUUGGCCUCACAUUUCAGUAUGAGCUAAUUUCUGCACACUCCUCAGACUCUGAGAAACUGUUAGCAAUAAAAGAGCUAUUCAGAUGCAGUUCUUUUUGAUUUAUUACCAGAAUAAACUCACUUAGACAAAGGAAUUUUGGAUCCUGUUAACUAGAGAAGAAGGAAUGCUGAUAACACCACGUCAACAGAACAGUGAAAAAGACACACAUUUUGGAUAUUUCACCACAGGGGAACGUUUGCAUACUAACUAGGCUUAGUCUCUUAAUGAGACCGUAAAAAUGUUGAAGAGUGAUAGCAUGACUCUAUACAUUCUGGCUCAGGAGCCUUCAAGAAAUUCUGGUCCAAAUUUGGCAUCUCUGAGUAUUGACUCACUAUUAAUUUAUAAAUACCUAUUUGCAGCACUCCUCAGUUGAAAGAGUCAUAGUUCACGUGGCAUUAAUACUGUGGUCUGCAGCUGUUCUAUAUACUUCCUAGCGUGCCAAGAAGCCAAAAUUAAAAUGUUAAUUUCGUCUCCAGUGAUUAUUCUGUCCUGAGCAUUCACUUGAAAUCAUGCAGUUUUAGGGAUCAUUAAUUGUGGGAAGGACAUCACUUGUGGCUAACAAAAUGUAGGGGCAGUCACUGUUUUCCCUUUCCUGUUCCCUUCACCUUCUGUUGAUUGGUAAUCAUACCCCUUCACGUUGCAUGGAGGGAAGGAAGCUCCACUACUGACAUUGACAAAGUCUUUGUAUUGAUUUAAUAGCUGUACACAUCAUAACAAAACAAAA